UACGGGGGGGGCAAGCGUUGUUCGGAAUUACUGGGCGUAAAGGGCUCGUAGGCGGCCAACUAAGUCAGACGUGAAAUCCCUCGGCUUAACCGGGGAACUGCGUCUGAUACUGGUUGGCUUGAGUGUGGGAGAGGGAUGCGGAAUUCCAGGUGUAGCGGUGAAAUGCGUAGAUAUCUGGAGGAACACCGGUGGCGAAGGCGGCAUCCUGGACCACGACUGACGCUGAGGAGCGAAAGCCAGGGGAGCAAACGGG
This 253-nucleotide ribosomal RNA is filed under the name uncultured bacterium. RNAcentral's name for it is "partial 16S ribosomal RNA". It matches the Rfam family "Bacterial small subunit ribosomal RNA", at positions 524 to 776 of the family's 1533-position model. The record is from RNAcentral.